UGCGGGGUAGAGCAGUCUGGUAGCUCGUUGGGCUCAUAACCCAAAGGUCAUCGGUUCAAAUCCGAUCCCCGCUACCA
RNAcentral lists this transfer RNA (77 nucleotides) under Acidobacteriota bacterium. Its description in RNAcentral is "tRNA-Met". It matches the Rfam family "tRNA". Rfam says of the family: Transfer RNA (tRNA) molecules are approximately 80 nucleotides in length. Their secondary structure includes four short double-helical elements and three loops (D, anti-codon, and T loops). Further hydrogen bonds mediate the characteristic L-shaped molecular structure. tRNAs have two regions of fundamental functional importance: the anti-codon, which is responsible for specific mRNA codon recognition, and the 3' end, to which the tRNAs corresponding amino acid is attached (by aminoacyl-tRNA synthetases). tRNAs cope with the degeneracy of the genetic code in two manners: having more than one tRNA (with a specific anti-codon) for a particular amino acid; and 'wobble' base-pairing, i.e. permitting non-standard base-pairing at the 3rd anti-codon position. Lineage: Bacteria; Pseudomonadati; Acidobacteriota. RNAcentral also lists the same sequence under 3 other names. The record is from RNAcentral.